RNAcentral lists this small RNA (155 nucleotides) under Paenibacillus sp. RNAcentral's name for it is "c-di-AMP sequence". It matches the Rfam family "c-di-AMP riboswitch aptamer (ydaO/yuaA leader)". Rfam says of the family: This family represents a conserved RNA structure found upstream of the ydaO and yuaA genes in Bacillus subtilis and related genes in other bacteria. The ydaO/yuaA element is thought to act as a genetic "off" switch for the ydaO and yuaA genes in its native state. RNAcentral also lists the same sequence under 1 other name. Lineage: Bacteria; Bacillati; Bacillota; Bacilli; Caryophanales; Paenibacillaceae. The record is from RNAcentral.
AUAUGAUAAACGCUUAAUCCUCUUCACGGAGGAGCGGGGGAACCAUCGAAGCUUAUAAUACUGCUUCUGGGGUGAAUUCUUUCUUACUUAGAAAGAACGGGUACUCUCAAACCCGAAUCCGACAGCUAACCUCGUCAGCGCUUGGGAGAGAAUAC